UCCCGGUUUCCCGGGCAGUCUCACCAGAGUGCUUUGCCCGAAGGCAAGUGGCAACUGGUAACAGGGGUUGCGCUCGUUAAAGGACUUAACCCAACAUCUCACGACACGAGCUGACGACAGCCAUGCAGCACCUGUAUAUCUGUCCGAGCGAACCCGGAAGAUCGUGUUUCCACGACUGUCAAAUAUAUGUCAAGUCCAGGUAAGGUUCCUCGCGUAGUGUCGAAUUAAACCACAUGUUCCACCGCUUGUGCGGACCCCCGUCAAUUCCUUUGAGUUUUAAUCUUGCGACCGUACUCCCCAGGUGGAUCACUUAACGCGUUAGCUGCGACACCAAGCCAGCAAAGCCGGCCCAACGUCUAGUGAUCAUCGUUUACAGCGUGGACUAC
RNAcentral lists this unclassified non-coding RNA (386 nucleotides) under uncultured bacterium. Its description in RNAcentral is "contains 16S-23S intergenic spacer region". The record is from RNAcentral.